This 254-nucleotide ribosomal RNA is filed under the name uncultured bacterium. RNAcentral describes it as "partial 16S ribosomal RNA". It matches the Rfam family "Bacterial small subunit ribosomal RNA", at positions 524 to 776 of the family's 1533-position model. The record is from RNAcentral.
UACGGGGGGAGCAAGCGUUGUUCGGAUUUACUGGGCGUAAAGGGCGCGUAGGCGGUCAGCACAAGUCAGUUGUGAAAUCUCCGGGCUUAACUCGGAAAGGUCAACUGAUACUGUGCGACUAGAGUGCAGAAGGGGCAACUGGAAUUCCUGGUGUAGCGGUGAAAUGCGUAGAUAUCAAGAGGAACACCUGAGGUGAAGACGGGUUGCUGGGCUGAUACUGACGCUGAGGCGCGAAAGCUAGGGUAGCAAACGGG